This 495-nucleotide ribosomal RNA is filed under the name uncultured bacterium. Its description in RNAcentral is "bacterial SSU rRNA". It matches the Rfam family "Bacterial small subunit ribosomal RNA", at positions 8 to 518 of the family's 1533-position model. The record is from RNAcentral.
AGAGUUUGAUUCUGGCUCAGGAUUAACGCUGGCGGCGUGCCUAAUACAUGCAAGUCGAAUGGUAGUAGCAAUACAAACCAUGGCGAACGGGUGAGUAACACGUAGGCAACCUGACUUUAAGACGAGGAUAACCGUUGGAAACGACGGAUAAUACUGGAUAGGACAUCAGAAAGGGCAUCCUUAGAUGUUUAAAGGUUAUUAUGCCACUUAGAGAGGGGCCUGCGGCGCAUUAGCUAGUUGGUGAGAUAACAGCCCACCAAGGCGAUGAUGCGUAGCCGGACUGAGAGGUUGAACGGCCACAAUGGAACUGAGAACGGUCCAUACUCCUACGGGAGGCAGCAGUAGGGAAUUUUCGGCAAUGGGCGCAAGCCUGACCGAGCAACGCCGCGUGAACGAAGAAGUUAUUCGUAAUGUAAAGUUCUUUUAUCUGGGAAGAAAAAACAAAUUGACGGUACCAGAUGAAUAAGCUCCGGCUAACUACGUGCCAGCCGCAGC